This 225-nucleotide long non-coding RNA is filed under the name Elaeis guineensis (African oil palm). RNAcentral's name for it is "long non-coding RNA (EGUI_LNC023326)". Lineage: Eukaryota; Viridiplantae; Streptophyta; Magnoliopsida; Arecales; Arecaceae. The record is from RNAcentral.
UACUAAGCCACAAUCAAGGUCUAUUUGAUCUAAUCAAAGACAUGGACUUGAUCAUCUACAACUAUUAUAUUAGAGAAAUCCUAAUUUAAUCUAAUUCAAUAUUUAAUUAGACUUAAUCAAUUUCUCUAUAUGAUCAAUUAACUCUUUGAUUCUAACAUUAGAUCUAAUCCAAUUAAGAGGAUCUGAUUUGAGCCAACCCAUACUUCAUGUUUUAUGCAAUGUCAU